UGGGGAAUUUUGGACAAUGGGCGAAAGCCUGAUCCAGCAAUGCCGCGUGUGUGAAGAAGGCCUUCGGGUUGUAAAGCACUUUUGUCCGGAAAGAAAUGGCUCUGGUUAAUACCUGGGGUCGAUGACGGUACCGGAAGAAUAAGGACCGGCUAACUACGUGCCAGCAGCCGCGGUAAUACGUAGGGUCCAAGCGUUAAUCGGAAUUACUGGGCGUAAAGCGUGCGCAGGCGGUUGUGCAAGACCGAUGUGAAAUCCCCGAGCUUAACUUGGGAAUUGCAUUGGUGACUGCACGGCUAGAGUGUGUCAGAGGGGGGUAGAAUUCCACGUGUAGCAGUGAAAUGCGUAGAGAUGUGGAGGAAUACCGAUGGGCGAAGGCAGCCCCCUGGGAUAACACUGACGCUCAUGCACGAAAGCGUGGGGAGCAAACAGGAUUAGAUACCCUGGUAGUCCACGCCCUAAACGAUGUCAACUAGUUGUUGGGGAUUCAUUUCCUUAGUAACGUAGCUAACGCGUGAAGUUGACCGCCUGGGGAGUACGGUCGCAAGAUUAAAAGCUC
This 556-nucleotide ribosomal RNA is filed under the name uncultured bacterium. RNAcentral's name for it is "partial 16S ribosomal RNA". It matches the Rfam family "Bacterial small subunit ribosomal RNA", at positions 355 to 902 of the family's 1533-position model. The record is from RNAcentral.